AUGGUGGCAGUGUCAGGGUCUGCUACGGUCACCUUCCAGUCAAUGGUCAGGCAUCACCGACCCCUCUGGGGGGAGGGGAUCCCCUCAGCUCCCGUCGCAGCUCUUCACACCAGCCUCCCGAACUGUCCUCUCUGCCCCUGCCGACUCCACCCCGGGAGCCUGGUCAGCCUUCGGCAGCCUCCCGCACGGACUCCACGCCUCUACCAGCUCCCUCAAACGGUUCCAGGGGCAUCAGUCCUCAGCCAGCACGGCGGGCACGCUCUCAAGGAAAGGCCCAGAGCUCUUGCCACCGCCCUGCUCCCGACCCUGAGACCUCCCCUCUACAAGGCCCAGGCCUCACCCCAGGCCCAGCCCCGAGUCCUUACGUGCCCGCCCUCUCCGAGGGGGUGGGUCUGCGCGGCCGAGGUCUGCGGAGGGACGGGGGAGGAGGCCCCAGGAGGACACAAGCUGGAGGCCGGGGGCACUCAGGGGUUCGGCGGGGGGCGGGGCACACGGGAACGGCGGUCAGAGGGGGGGGGUACGCGGGCGUCCGAAGAUAGAGGGAGGAGCAGGCCCGCCACAGAUGGAGGGGCCACAGGGGAACCGGAGGCCUCCACCGCAGCUGGAGAAGGCCCAAGGGGCCGGCACCUCUCUCCGGAACUUCCGCUACGGCCGGCCCCGCUCCGCCGGUUCCGCUUCCGGUCUGCGCUGCGCCUGCGUUCUGGUCUCCAUUGGGGGGGGCGGGGGCGGCCUCGGGGUCCCCAGCGCAUAAGCGGGUCUAUCGCCGCUACCGCCCCGCGGGCCCUUCCGGGCGUCGGCCUCCGGGAUCUUCCGAAGCACAGACCUGAACUUGGGGUUUGUCGGCCCGAUUCCCCUUCGGACCUGCGUCCUUCCCGCGGCGCGAUACCGCUUCGGCCCGGGCCACUUCCCCGCGCGGGGUUGCAGGGCUGUGGCGGGGCGGGGCGGACCCAGGACAGGGUGAGUGGGCGGGAGGGAGGCGCUGCUCCGCCGCGUGCCCCCGAGGGGUGGACGGCCGAGAGAAUCACACUGCAGGCGGGGGCCGGCCCCUCCAGGUUUAUUAGUGUUGCAUCAGCACCUUAA
RNAcentral lists this long non-coding RNA (1080 nucleotides) under Piliocolobus tephrosceles (Ugandan red Colobus). Its description in RNAcentral is "lncRNA (ENSPTEG00000029793.1)". The record is from RNAcentral. Lineage: Eukaryota; Metazoa; Chordata; Mammalia; Primates; Cercopithecidae.